RNAcentral lists this long non-coding RNA (574 nucleotides) under Homo sapiens (human). Its description in RNAcentral is "non-protein coding lnc-VKORC1L1-7:8". Lineage: Eukaryota; Metazoa; Chordata; Mammalia; Primates; Hominidae. The record is from RNAcentral.
GUUUAUUGUAGGGCCUUCAUCCCAGAAUAAUCACUGAAGGAUUUGAAGCUGUGAAGGAAAAGCCCUUCAUUUUUUGGAAGAAGUCAAAGUAAGCAGAGAGAUGGACAAGGAAACACUUAAAGAUGUGGCCAGGGCAUCUCUUUGUACUAAAGUUCAUGCUGAACUUGCAGAUGUCUUAACAGAGGCUGUAGUGGGCUCCAUUUUGGCCAUUAAAAGAAAAGAUGAACCUAUUGAUCUCUUCAUGAUUUUGUGAUCAUUGACAAGAAACAUAAAUCUGAAACUGAUACAAGGUAGGUGGUAGAAGACUAUGAAAUACUAAUGGUCGGGCCUGGUGGCUCAGGCAUGUAAUCCCAGCACUUUGGGAAGCCGAGGUGGGUAGAUCACCUGAGGUCAGGAGUUCGAGACCACCCUGGCCAACAUGGGGAAACCCCGUCUCUACUAAAAUUACAAAAAUUAGCCAGGCAUGGUGGCGGGCUCAUGUAAUCCCAGCUACUUGGGAGGCUGAGGCAGAAGAAUUGCUUGAAACUGGGAGGCGGAGGUUGCAGUGAGCCAAGACCACACCAUUGCACUCCAG